RNAcentral lists this transfer RNA (71 nucleotides) under Marmota marmota marmota (Alpine marmot). It matches the Rfam family "tRNA". Rfam says of the family: Transfer RNA (tRNA) molecules are approximately 80 nucleotides in length. Their secondary structure includes four short double-helical elements and three loops (D, anti-codon, and T loops). The record is from Rfam by way of RNAcentral. Lineage: Eukaryota; Metazoa; Chordata; Mammalia; Rodentia; Sciuridae. RNAcentral also lists the same sequence under 2 other names.
GGCAUGUAGCACAGUGGUAGAGCACUCGCCUAGCAUGCACGAGGCUCUGGGUUCAAUCCCCAGUACUGCCG